Phrynosoma platyrhinos (Desert horned lizard) is the source of this 72-nucleotide non-coding RNA. The record is from the annotation of a GenBank genome assembly. NCBI's taxonomy places the organism in Eukaryota, Metazoa, Chordata, Lepidosauria, Squamata, Phrynosomatidae.
GUCAGCGUGGUGUAGUGGUUUGAGCAUUUCAUUACCACUUUGGAGACUAGGGUUCAAAUUCCUGCUCAGCCA